CGCCGGGGGGGGCGCUUACACAUGCAAGUCGAACGAUGAUGCCCAGCUUGCUGGGCGGAUUAGUGGCGAACGGGUGAGUAAUACGUGAGUAACCUGCCCUUGACUCUGGGAUAAGCCUGGGAAACUGGGUCUAAUACUGGAUACUACCUCUUACCGCAUGGUGGGUGGUGGAAAGGGUUUUACUGGUUUUGGAUGGGCUCACGGCCUAUCAGCUUGUUGGUGGGGUAAUGGCUCACCAAGGCGACGACGGGUAGCCGGCCUGAGAGGGUGACCGGCCACACUGGGACUGAGACACGGCCCAGACUCCUACGGGAGGCAGCAGUGGGGAAUAUUGCACAAUGGGCGGAAGCCUGAUGCAGCGACGCCGCGUGAGGGAUGACGGCCUUCGGGUUGUAAACCUCUUUCAGUAGGGAAGAAGCGAGAGUGACGGUACCUGCAGAAGAAGCGCCGGCUAACUACGUGCCAGCAGCCGCGGUAAUACGUAGGGCGCAAGCGUUGUCCGGAAUUAUUGGGCGUAAAGAGCUCGUAGGCGGUUUGUCGCGUCUGCUGUGAAAGCCCGGGGCUCAACCCCGGGUCUGCAGUGGGUACGGGCAGACUAGAGUGCAGUAGGGGAGACUGGAAUUCCUGGUGUAGCGGUGAAAUGCGCAGAUAUCAGGAGGAACACCGAUGGCGAAGGCAGGUCUCUGGGCUGUUACUGACGCUGAGGAGCGAAAGCAUGGGGAGCGAACAGGAUUAGAUACCCUGGUAGUCCAUGCCGUAAACGUUGGGCACUAGGUGUGGGGGACAUUCCACGUUUUCCGCGCCGUAGCUAACGCAUUAAGUGCCCCGCCUGGGGAGUACGGCCGCAAGGCUAAAACUCAAAGGAAUUGACGGGGGCCCGCACAAGCGGCGGAGCAUGCGGAUUAAUUCGAUGCAACGCGAAGAACCUUACCAAGGCUUGACAUUCACCGGACCGCCCCAGAGAUGGGGUUUCCCUUCGGGGCUGGUGGACAGGUGGUGCAUGGUUGUCGUCAGCUCGUGUCGUGAGAUGUUGGGUUAAGUCCCGCAACGAGCGCAACCCUCGUUCUAUGUUGCCAGCACGUGAUGGUGGGGACUCAUAGGAGACUGCCGGGGUCAACUCGGAGGAAGGUGGGGAUGACGUCAAAUCAUCAUGCCCCUUAUGUCUUGGGCUUCACGCAUGCUACAAUGGCCGGUACAAAGGGUUGCGAUACUGUGAGGUGGAGCUAAUCCCAAAAAGCCGGUCUCAGUUCGGAUUGAGGUCUGCAACUCGACCUCAUGAAGUCGGAGUCGCUAGUAAUCGCAGAUCAGCAACGCUGCGGUGAAUACGUUCCCGGGCCUUGUACACACCGCCCGUCAAGUCACGAAAGUUGGUAACACCCGAAGCCGGUGGCCUAACCCCUUGUGGGAGGGAGCCGUCGAAGGUGACGGUUGGA
RNAcentral lists this ribosomal RNA (1433 nucleotides) under Kocuria sp. YB048. RNAcentral describes it as "bacterial SSU rRNA". It matches the Rfam family "Bacterial small subunit ribosomal RNA". Lineage: Bacteria; Bacillati; Actinomycetota; Actinomycetes; Micrococcales; Micrococcaceae. The record is from RNAcentral. RNAcentral also lists the same sequence under 1 other name.